RNAcentral lists this long non-coding RNA (2900 nucleotides) under Homo sapiens (human). RNAcentral's name for it is "non-protein coding ZMIZ1-AS1:29". Lineage: Eukaryota; Metazoa; Chordata; Mammalia; Primates; Hominidae. The record is from RNAcentral.
CCUUUUCGCCUCUCCUCGUUCUCUCCCUCGCCUUUCCUUUCCUUUCUCUUCCUCUCUUCCUCGCUCCUCGGUCUCGGCGCUCUCCCAGCUUUUCUUCUCCUGGCUCCUGGUUCCCCGCUACGCCACCAGUCCACUCACCUCUCUCCUUGCCCUACUCCCUCCGCUACUCCCUGACGCCCCCUGCAGCCCCCAGCCCCCCUGCAGGCCCCAGCCCCAGUAAGUUUGGAGAGGGGAACAAAUGCUGAGCCUAGGUAGGGACCACCUUGGGGAGGAAGCCAAAAUCACACUGCUCACCCGAGAGCCCCUGCCCCGCGCUGGCACGCCCCCGCCUGGAGUGCACUCGUGGCCCCGGGCGCUGUCAGGUACCCGAAUUGGGGUAAGCGAGUUGGUAACUGGACCUCCAAAGCCUUCCCCUGGGGUUGACUUUGGAAUUGUUCCUACAGCCCGGGGACUGGUGGUUGGGGUGGGAAGAGGACCACCACCACCAAGGGUGACUUUGAGGGAGACUAGAGCGCGGCCCCCCGACAGCUGUGGGGGAGCGGGGGUGUGGUGGCCACAGUUGAUCCGCGGCACCUAGCACAGUCCAGAGACGCGUGGAUUCCCCUAGGCCCGGCGCGGAGCGCCCGGGGCGCUGUGCGCGCGGGCUGCGUGGGAGCUGCUAGGCUGGGGCCUGGCCCUCUGCCCCGGACUGGGCACUGCCAGAGAUAGCGGAGAGCUAAGGUACUCACGAGGCGCAGUUGGGUGCACCCACUCGCGGGAGUUCCCCUAGCCGACCCACCCCCCCCCCCCGAGAGCAUCCAACUACGCGCCCACUUUGGCUCACGUCCACUGCCACUCUCACGGAAACUCCUACAAGAACGGCACACACGUUCGCUCCCUCAGCAUUGCAAACACGCUCCCCCCCAAACCACAAACGCGCCCCCACACACUCGCUUACUUUCCCUCACAAAGAUGCCCGCUUACACGGCCACAGCAGGCACGCUCAGAGACACGCAGUUACACACACACAUCGCUGUACACAACCCCACAUACAAUCAAAAAACAAAACACGAAACGUUCCCCUGGGCACUAAAUCCUCACGUUAACGUACACACACAAACACACGCCCUCCUCUCCCACUUCCUCUUCCAUACCCCUUCCUCGAGGCCCCCCACCCCUGAUUUUCGGCACCCCCAGUCCCAAUCAUAAUUGGCGCCCGCGCAGCCCUCUUUGGACACACACGCGCCGCCCACGCACGCGCUCCCCUCCCCGGCAGGCGGGGGCGGCUUCGGCCGGGAGCCGGCGGAGCCCGCUUCGGAUUCCAGGUGUGGCAGUGACUCCGCGCUCCACGUUUUGCAGGCUGCCACCGUGUCGGAGGCGAGGCGAGGAAGGGAGCUGGAAUAACAAAGGGAGGUAAUGGGGUAGAUUGGAUACCUCUGGGGUCUUGGAAGAAGCUAUGACUUAUUUACUGUCUACUAUGUGGUGGAUGGUGUUUGAAGUGAAUUGAAUUAGGGGACACCCAGCUGGCAUCUGCUGCAGAACUGAUGACUCGCUUGCUGGUGGGCAGAAAUCUCCAUAAUCUUUCUUUAGCAGAUGAGGUCACUGAGGCUCAGAGAGGCUGAAGCCACUUGCUCAGAGCCGCACAGCAAGCCCACCACCCUGAACCUCCAGAUUACCAACUCAGCAUUGUGUCCUGACAGUGUCAUCAUAGAUGGUCAACACCGUCACCUGGGCAGCACUGAAGCCCAGAGCGGGAGAGACUGGCUCAAGACCAUGGCCUCUCCUGGUCUGACAGUCUCAGAUGCAGUCAUGGAUGGCUUUCUGGAGGAGGUGGUACCUGGUCUGUGGGAAGUAGGGGUCAGCAUCCUGGUCUCUGGGAGCAUCUGCUCCAGAUGGUUUCCCUGGGGCCCCCAGAAGCAGGUGUUUGCGCUAACAGCUCUGCAAGCAGAGAGCUUCAGUGCAUGGCCCUUCUUGCCCUUGUUCCCAGGCACAUGCUGUUCCCCUGGGGCUGAAUACCCCACUUACUUGUAAAUCCCAGUGCUCUCCUGUUCAUUCUGCAGUGCCAGCACAAGUCUCCUCCUUGGGGAAGGCUUUCUGGACUUCCCAGCCCACUGGCCAUUGUUCCGUCUUGCAGGUGCCCCCUCAGGGUGCCUGCUGUAACCGUCACUCACAUAUCUCCCCCACCCAACAGAGGGCCUUGCUUUUGGUCCUGGACCUGCACCUUUGACUGUAUUCUUAGUGAUUUGUCCAAGCCCACCCUGGGAGAUAGGGGCGGUGCCAGGCUAGCACCCAGUUCUCCUGGGUUCUCUGAGAAAGUUCCUACCUUCUUCCCUGGCUCACAAGUAGUACUUAAGCAGUUUUGGUUGUUAAAGAAAAUACUGAAUUUAUUCUUCCAACCACUCAUAUAUAUAUAUAAAUCAGUGUUAUUGAGAAACAAUUUACAAAAUGCACCCAUUUUCACUGUACAGUUCAGUGAAUUUUAACAGGUGUGUACAGUGGUGUAAACACUGCCACACCCAAGAUAUCACACAUUUCCAUCACCCCUCAAAAUCUCCUCAUACCCCUUCCUGAUCAAUCCCUCUUCCUGCCUCAGGCAACAUUUGAUUUGAUUUUAUCAAUAUCGAUUAGUUUUGCAUGUUCUAGAAUGUCCUAUAAAUUGUGAUUAGGCAGUAUGUACUUUCUGUGUAGUGCCAUGCAUGUUGUAUCUUGCAUGAGUAGUUCGGCCCUUUGCAUUGCUGGGUAGUAUUCUGGAGAAUGGACAUUCCACAAUUUGUUUAUCUGUUCACCAAUUGAUAGAAUUUGGGUUAUUUCCAGUUUGGGGAUUUUAUGAAUAAAGCUGCUAUGAACAUUCAUGUGAACAUGUUUUCAUUUACCUUGGGCUAAUGCCUGGAACUGGUAUUGUUGUAUUGUCAGGGUAAGUA